This 324-nucleotide long non-coding RNA is filed under the name Macaca fascicularis (crab-eating macaque). RNAcentral's name for it is "lncRNA (ENSMFAG00000063024.1)". Lineage: Eukaryota; Metazoa; Chordata; Mammalia; Primates; Cercopithecidae. The record is from RNAcentral.
UUUUCAAUGACUUCCUCAAACUUCUCACUUACCCUUCAGUGCUGGCAUCGUCCAGGUCAUAGGAGAAGAGACCUCUCCUGACGGAGCAAUAUCCUGGUCCCUAGGAAGCAUUCCCUGUGAUUUUGGUUGGUUCAUUAGAGGUCUGGAGAAUGGCAGCAAAAUGAACAAUAUGAGAAUUAAGAAUACAAUGGCAACUUGAAAAAUAAAGGAUAUAGGACACAGUUGAAAAUGGAGGAUGUAGGAUCAUUCUAUUAGAAGAAUAAAAUAGUUUGCAAAUAUACAAGAACAUGCAGGCAGAUGUACCUAGAAAGGACCUGAGAACUC